This 407-nucleotide ribosomal RNA is filed under the name uncultured bacterium. RNAcentral describes it as "partial 16S ribosomal RNA". It matches the Rfam family "Bacterial small subunit ribosomal RNA", at positions 30 to 526 of the family's 1533-position model. The record is from RNAcentral.
AUUGAACGCUGACGGAAGGCCUAACACAUGCCAGUCGAGCGGAGCGGAGGAAGGGUGAGUAAUGACUAGGAAUGUGACUGGUCGUGGGGGAUAACGUCCGGAAAAGGGCGCUAAUACCGCAUACGAACAGAUGAGCCUAGGCCGGAUUAGGUAGUUGGUGGGGUAAAGGCCUACCAAGGCGACGAUCCGUAACUGGUCUGAGAGGAUGAUCAGUCACACUGGAACUGAGACACGGUCCAGACUCCUACGGGAGGCAGCAGUGGGGAAUAUUGGACAAUGGGCGAAAGCCUGAUCCAGCCAUGCCGCGUGUGUGAAGAAGGUCUUCGGAUUGUAAAGCACUUUAAGUUGGGAGGCGUUACCAACAGAAUAAGCACCGGCUAACUCCGUGCCAGCAGCCGCGGUAAUAC